CUGCUACUUAGACUUAUUAAUGAAGUUAUAGGAUUUUGUAUAGAAUAUCAAAACAAAAAUGAUUCUAUUUCUACCAUUAUUAUGAUAAUACACAUUCCAACCUGCUUGAAUACCAGAAAAAUAAAUGGAUUCGACAUUUGAUCUUUUCACUGAGAUAAAGGCAUAAAAAUAAGAAAGAAUAUGUAGAAUUAGAAUCGGUUUUUAGCAUUUAACUCCCUUUUCUGUUAUGGAUUUCGUUGUUCAAAAAAUGAUAUGUAGAGA
This 261-nucleotide long non-coding RNA is filed under the name Nicotiana benthamiana. Its description in RNAcentral is "long non-coding RNA (NBEN_LNC036740)". The record is from RNAcentral. Lineage: Eukaryota; Viridiplantae; Streptophyta; Magnoliopsida; Solanales; Solanaceae.